RNAcentral lists this non-coding RNA (21 nucleotides) under Caenorhabditis elegans. Lineage: Eukaryota; Metazoa; Nematoda; Chromadorea; Rhabditida; Rhabditidae. The record is from RNAcentral.
UGUUGCAUAGAUUUAUUUUCU